This 465-nucleotide ribosomal RNA is filed under the name uncultured bacterium. RNAcentral's name for it is "partial 16S ribosomal RNA". It matches the Rfam family "Bacterial small subunit ribosomal RNA", at positions 338 to 795 of the family's 1533-position model. The record is from RNAcentral.
CCUACGGGUGGCAGCAGUAGGGAAUCUUCCACAAUGGGCGCAAGCCGGAUGGAGCAACACCGCGUGAGUGAAGAAGGGUUUCGGCGCGUAAAGCUCUGUUGUUGGAGAAGAACGUUCGUGAGAGUAACUGUUCACGCAGUGACGGUAUCCAACCAGAAAGGCACGGCCAACUACGUGCCAGCAGCCGCGGUAAGACGUAGGUGGCAAGCGUUAUCCGGAUUUAUUGGGCGGAAAGGGAGCGCAGGCGUUAGGUGAGGUCUGAUGUGAAAGCCUUCGGCUUAACCGGAGAAUUGCAUCGGAAACCGGGAGACUUGAGUGCAGGAGAGGGCAGUGGAACUCCAUGUGUAGCGGUGAAAUGCGUAGAUAUGUGGAAGAACACCAGUGGCGAAGGCAGCUGUCUGGACUGCAACUGACGCUGAGGCUCGAAAGCGUGGGUAGCGAACAGGAUUAGAUACCCUUGUAGUC